GAUGGACGCUGACAGAAUGCUUAACACAUGCAAGUCGAUUCAAGUUACCUUCGGGUAAUGAGGAUGGCGGACGGGUGAGUAACGCGUAAGGAACUUGCCUCUUGGUCUGGGACAACUGUUGGAAACGACAGCUAAUACCGGAUAUUAUGAGAUUCUCGCAUGGGAAACUUAUGAAAGCUAUAUGCGCCAAGAGAGAGCCUUGCGUUCCAUUAGCUAGUUGGUGGGGUAACGGCCCACCAAGGCGACGAUGGAUAGCCGGCCUGAGAGGGUGAACGGCCACAAGGGGACUGAGACACGGCCCUUACUCCUACGGGAGGCAGCAGUGGGGAAUAUUGGACAAUGGGCCACAAGCCUGAUCCAGCAAUUCUGUGUGCACGAUGAAGGUCUUCGGAUUGUAAAGUGCUUUCAGUUGGGAAGAAGAAAGUGACGGUACCAACAGAAGAAGCGACGGCUAAAUACGUGCCAGCAGCCGCGGUAAUACGUAUGUCGCAAGCGUUAUCCGGAUUUAUUGGGCGUAAAGCGCGUCUAGGCGGAAAAAUAAGUCUGAUGUUAAAAUGCGGGGCUCAACUCCGUAUUGCGUUGGAAACUGUUUUUCUAGAGUACUGGAGAGGUGGGCGGAACUACAAGUGUAGAGGUGAAAUUCGUAGAUAUUUGUAGGAAUG
Molecule: ribosomal RNA, 662 nt
Filed under: uncultured prokaryote
Description: bacterial SSU rRNA
Rfam family: Bacterial small subunit ribosomal RNA
Source: RNAcentral